UCUCCGUUGGUGAACCAGCGGAGGGAUCAUUACAGGACACGCAAGACUCCUACAACCCUGUGAACUUAACUAUAAGCACGUUGCUUCGGCGGGUGUCUCGGAGGGGGUUCUCCCUCCCCGAGACGCUAAACCCGCCGGCAGCCUACUAUACUCUGUCUCUUUGCGUUGGCACCUCGAGUACAAUCAAGCAAGUUAAAACUUUCAACAACGGAUCUCUUGGUUCUG
RNAcentral lists this unclassified non-coding RNA (225 nucleotides) under plant metagenome. RNAcentral's name for it is "partial contains small subunit ribosomal RNA, internal transcribed spacer 1, and 5.8S ribosomal RNA". The record is from RNAcentral.